UGGGGAAUAUUGCACAAUGGGCGCAAGCCUGAUGCAGCCAUGCCGCGUGUAUGAAGAAGGCCUUCGGGUUGUAAAGUACUUUCAGCGGGGAGGAAGGGAGUAAAGUUAAUACCUUUGCUCAUUGACGUUACCCGCAGAAGAAGCACCGGCUAACUCCGUGCCAGCAGCCGCGGUAAUACGGAGGGUGCAAGCGUUAAUCGGAAUUACUGGGCGUAAAGCGCACGCAGGCGGUUGAUUGAGUCAGAUGUGAAAUCCCCGGGCUUAACCCGGGAAUUGCAUCUGAUACUGGUCAGCUAGAGUCUUGUAGAGGGGGGUAGAAUUCCAUGUGUAGCGGUGAAAUGCGUAGAGAUCUGGAGGAAUACCGGUGGCGAAGGCGGCCCCCUGGACGAAGACUGAUGCUCAGGUGCGAAAGCGUGGGGAGCAAACAGG
This 429-nucleotide ribosomal RNA is filed under the name Chloroflexota bacterium. RNAcentral's name for it is "Chloroflexi bacterium partial 16S ribosomal RNA". It matches the Rfam family "Bacterial small subunit ribosomal RNA", at positions 355 to 776 of the family's 1533-position model. The record is from RNAcentral. Lineage: Bacteria; Bacillati; Chloroflexota.